This 189-nucleotide ribosomal RNA is filed under the name uncultured bacterium. RNAcentral describes it as "partial 16S ribosomal RNA". It matches the Rfam family "Bacterial small subunit ribosomal RNA", at positions 337 to 524 of the family's 1533-position model. The record is from RNAcentral.
UCCUACGGGAGGCAGCAGUGAGGAAUAUUGGUCAAUGGGCGCAGGCCUGAACCAGCCAAGUCGCGUGAGGGAAGACGGUCCUACGGAUUGUAAACCUCUUUUGCCGGGGAGCAAAGGGGCCAUUGAUGGCAGGAUGAGCGUACCCGGAGAAAAAGCAUCGGCUAACUCCGUGCCAGCAGCCGCGGUAAU